This 1343-nucleotide ribosomal RNA is filed under the name uncultured bacterium. RNAcentral's name for it is "16S ribosomal RNA". It matches the Rfam family "Bacterial small subunit ribosomal RNA", at positions 28 to 1378 of the family's 1533-position model. The record is from RNAcentral.
GACGAACGCUGGCGGCGUGCUUAACACAUGCAAGUCGAACGGAAAGGCCCUGCUUUUGUGGGGUGCUCGAGUGGCGAACGGGUGAGUAACACGUGAGUAACCUGCCCUUGACUUUGGGAUAACUUCAGGAAACUGGGGCUAAUACCGGAUAGGAGCUCCUGCUGCAUGGUGGGGGUUGGAAAGUUUCGGCGGUUGGGGAUGGACUCGCGGCUUAUCAGCUUGUUGGUGGGGUAGUGGCUUACCAAGGCUUUGACGGGUAGCCGGCCUGAGAGGGUGACCGGCCACAUUGGGACUGAGAUACGGCCCAGACUCCUACGGGAGGCAGCAGUGGGGAAUAUUGCACAAUGGGCGGAAGCCUGAUGCAGCAACGCCGCGUGCGGGAUGACGGUCUUCGGGUUGUAAACCGCUUUCGCCUGUGACGAAGCGUGAGUGACGGUAAUGGGUAAAGAAGCACCGGCUAACUACGUGCCAGCAGCCGCGGUGAUACGUAGGGUGCGAGCGUUGUCCGGAUUUAUUGGGCGUAAAGGGCUCGUAGGUGGUUGAUCGCGUCGGAAGUGUAAUCUUGGGGCUUAACCCUGAGCGUGCUUUCGAUACGGGUUGACUUGAGGAAGGUAGGGGAGAAUGGAAUUCCUGGUGGAGCGGUGGAAUGCGCAGAUAUCAGGAGGAACACCAGUGGCGAAGGCGGUUCUCUGGGCCUUUCCUGACGCUGAGGAGCGAAAGCGUGGGGAGCGAACAGGCUUAGAUACCCUGGUAGUCCACGCUGUAAACGGUGGGUACUAGGUGUGGGGUCCAUUCCACGGGUUCCGUGCCGUAGCUAACGCUUUAAGUACCCCGCCUGGGGAGUACGGCCGCAAGGCUAAAACUCAAAGGAAUUGACGGGGCCCCGCACAAGCGGCGGAGCAUGCGGAUUAAUUCGAUGCAACGCGUAGAACCUUACCUGGGUUUGACAUGGAUCGGGAGCGCUCAGAGAUGGGUGUGCCUCUUUUGGGGUCGGUUCACAGGUGGUGCAUGGCUGUCGUCAGCUCGUGUCGUGAGAUGUUGGGUUAAGUCCCGCAACGAGCGCAACCCUUGUUCACUGUUGCCAGCACGUUAUGGUGGGGACUCAGUGGAGACCGCCGGGGUCAACUCGGAGGAAGGUGGGGAUGACGUCAAGUCAUCAUGCCCCUUAUGUCCAGGGCUUCACGCAUGCUACAAUGGCUGGUACAGAGAGUGGCGAGCCUGUGAGGGUGAGCGAAUCUCGGAAAGCCGGUCUCAGUUCGGAUUGGGGUCUGCAACUCGACCUCAUGAAGUCGGAGUCGCUAGUAAUCGCAGAUCAGCAACGCUGCGGUGAAUACGUUCCCGGG